This 449-nucleotide ribosomal RNA is filed under the name uncultured bacterium. RNAcentral describes it as "partial 16S ribosomal RNA". It matches the Rfam family "Bacterial small subunit ribosomal RNA", at positions 329 to 792 of the family's 1533-position model. The record is from RNAcentral.
AUCCAGACUCCUACGGGAGGCAGCAGUGGGGAAUAUUGGACAAUGGGGGGAACCCUGAUCCAGCGACGCCGCGUGAGUGAAGAAGUAUUUCGGUAUGUAAAGCUCUAUCAGCAGGGAAGAAAGAAAUGACGGUACCUGACUAAGAAGCCCCGGCUAACUACGUGCCAGCAGCCGCGGUAAUACGUAGGGAGCAAGCGUUGUCCGGAAUUACUGGGCGUAAAGGGCGCGUAGGUGGGCGCUUAAGUCAGGUGUGAAAACUCCGGGCUCAACCUGGAGACUGCACUUGAAACUGGGUGUCUUGAGGGCAGGAGAGGAAAGUGGAAUUCCUAGUGUAGCGGUGAAAUGCGUAGAUAUUAGGAGGAACACCAGUGGCGAAGGCGUCUUACUGGAUCGAAACUGACGUUGAGGCUCGAAAGCGUGGGGAGCAAACAGGAUUAGAUACCCCGGUA